Molecule: unclassified non-coding RNA, 320 nt
Filed under: rhizosphere metagenome
Description: partial ribosomal RNA internal transcribed spacer region
Source: RNAcentral
GUAGGUGAACCUGCGGAAGGAUCAUUACUCUUAGCUUAAGUUCUUGUAACUUAUUGCUAUACUCUAAACACCAAACCGUGCUCUUUUUUUCCCACCCCACUCUUAUACCAUCCAUUCUAUUAACUGAACACAUUGUGCAUAGGAUGGUCCCUAACAAGACUCAUCCGACACACAUCUGUACACCCCAUCUCAUCUAGACGUAUUCGUUUACGCCUUUAUGUGCUGUGAUGUACUUGUUGAACCACAGUACAGGGAUCAGUUUAACUACUGUAUCUCUUUACACGUGAAUACAACUCCGAACAAUGGAUAUCUCGGCUCUC